RNAcentral lists this ribosomal RNA (500 nucleotides) under uncultured bacterium. Its description in RNAcentral is "partial 16S ribosomal RNA". It matches the Rfam family "Bacterial small subunit ribosomal RNA", at positions 28 to 507 of the family's 1533-position model. The record is from RNAcentral.
GACGAACGCUGGCGGCGUGCCUAAUACAUGCAAGUCGAGCGGACUGAUUAAGAGCUUGCUCUUAUGACGUUAGCGGCGGACGGGUGAGUAACACGUGGGCAACCUGCCCUGUAGAUCGGGAUAACACCGAGAAAUCGGUGCUAAUACCGGGUAAUAUCUGAGAUCACAUGAUCUUAGGUUAAAAGAUGGCUCCGGCUAUCACUACAGGAUGGGCCCGCGGCGCAUUAGCUAGUUGGUAAGGUAAUGGCUUACCAAGGCGACGAUGCGUAGCCGACCUGAGAGGGUGAUCGGCCACACGGGGACUGAGACACGGCCCAGACACCUACGGGAGGCAGCAGUAGGGAAUCUUCCGCAAUGGACGAAAGUCUGACGGAGCAACGCCGCGUGAGUGAUGAAGGGUUUCGGCGCGUAAAGCUCUGUUGUUAGGGAAGAAACAGUACCGAACGAACUAGGUCGGUACCUUGACGGUACCUAACCAGAAAGCCACGGCUAACUACGUG